This 253-nucleotide ribosomal RNA is filed under the name uncultured bacterium. Its description in RNAcentral is "partial 16S ribosomal RNA". It matches the Rfam family "Bacterial small subunit ribosomal RNA", at positions 524 to 776 of the family's 1533-position model. The record is from RNAcentral.
UACGUAGGGUGCAAGCGUUAUUCGGAAUCACUGGGCGUAAAGGGCACGUAGGCGGCUUAGUAAGUCUAAAGUGAAAUCCUUGGGCUUAACCCAAGGGCUGCUUUAGAUACUGCAAAACUCGAGUUCGGGAAAAGCAACCGGAAUUCCUGGUGAAGGGGUGAAAUCCGUAGAUAUCAGGAAGAACACCAGUGGCGAAAGCGGCUGGCUAGAACGCAACUGACGCUUAGGCACGAAAGCGAGGGGAGCAAACAGG